Molecule: ribosomal RNA, 676 nt
Filed under: fungal sp. BMP3025
Lineage: Eukaryota; Fungi
Description: eukaryotic LSU rRNA
Rfam family: 5.8S ribosomal RNA (bases 294-447)
Source: RNAcentral
UGGAAGUAAAAGUCGUAACAAGGUUUCCGUAGGUGAACCUGCGGAAGGAUCAUUACCAGUGCCGCCGGCGUCGGCGUCCGGGCCUUUAGGGGUCUCCGGGCGUCCGUCGGUCUGAGCCCCACCCGUGAACACCGAACCUCACGUUGCUUUGGCGGGUCCGCCGCGGAGUCUUCCGCGGCCGCCGGGGGUGCCGGGGCGCGCCUGCGCGCUCCGAUCCCGGGCCCGCGCCCGCCAACGGAAAACAAGUGAACUUCUGAUCGAAUGGACCGUCUGAGUGAUUUCUAAAUCAUUAAAACUUUCAACAACGGAUCUCUUGGUUCCGGCAUCGAUGAAGAACGCAGCGAAAUGCGAUAAGUAGUGUGAAUUGCAGAAUUCCGUGAAUCAUCGAAUCUUUGAACGCACAUUGCGCCCUCUGGUAUUCCGGGGGGCAUGCCUGUCCGAGCGUCAUUGCAACCCUCAAGCGCGGCUUGUGUGUUGGGUCAUGCAGUGUCCCCGUUCGCGGGGACAGGCCCCAAAGGCAGUGGCGGCGUUCCGACGCAGGUGCCUGAGUGAAUGGGAAAUAACCAAUCCGCUCAAGAGGCCCGGUCGGCGCCUGCCGGUCAACUUUUCUUUUAUCGGUUGACCUCGGAUCAGGUAGGAAUACCCGCUGAACUUAAGCAUAUCAAUAAGCGGAGGA